UACGUAGGGGGCAAGCGUUGUCCGGAUUUACUGGGCGUAAAGAGCUCGUAGGUGGUUUGUCGCGUUGUUCGUGAAAACUCACAACUCAAUUGUGGGCGUGCGGGCGAUACGGGCAGACUGGAGUACUGCAGGGGAGACUGGAAUUCCUGGUGUAGCGGUGGAAUGCGCAGAUAUCAGGAGGAACACCGGUGGCGAAGGCGGGUCUCUGGGCAGUAACUGACGCUGAGGAGCGAAAGCGUGGGGAGCGAACAGG
Molecule: ribosomal RNA, 253 nt
Filed under: uncultured bacterium
Lineage: Bacteria
Description: partial 16S ribosomal RNA
Rfam family: Bacterial small subunit ribosomal RNA
Source: RNAcentral